GACGAACGCUGGCGGCGUGCCUAAUACAUGCAAGUCGAGCGGACCGAAGGGAGCUUGCUCCUUUAGGUUAGCGGCGGACGGGUGAGUAACACGUGGGCAACCUGCCCUGCAGACUGGGAUAACUUCGGGAAACCGGAGCUAAUACCGGAUAACACCGAAAACCGCAUGGUUUUCGGUUGAAAGGCGGCAUUAGCUGUCACUGCAGGAUGGGCCCGCGGCGCAUUAGCUAGUUGGUGAGGGUAACGGCCCACCAAGGCGACGAUGGGUAACCGGCCUGAGGGGGUGAACGGUCACAUUGGAACUGAGACACGGUCCAA
RNAcentral lists this ribosomal RNA (317 nucleotides) under uncultured bacterium. RNAcentral describes it as "bacterial SSU rRNA". It matches the Rfam family "Bacterial small subunit ribosomal RNA", at positions 28 to 334 of the family's 1533-position model. The record is from RNAcentral.